GAUGAACGCUGGCGGCGUGCCUAAUACAUGCAAGUCGAGCGAACAGACGAGGAGCUUGCUCCUCUGAUGUUAGCGGCGGACGGGUGAGUAACACGUGGAUAACCUACCUAUAAGACUGGGAUAACUUCGGGAAACCGGAGCUAAUACCGGAUAACAUGUUGAACCGCAUGGUUCAACAGUGAAAGACGGUCUUGCUGUCACUUAUAGAUGGAUCCGCGCCGCAUUAGCUAGUUGGUAAGGUAACGGCUUACCAAGGCAACGAUGCGUAGCCGACCUGAGAGGGUGAUCGGCCACACUGGAACUGAGACACGGUCCAGACUCCUACGGGAGGCAGCAGUAGGGAAUCUUCCGCAAUGGGCGAAAGCCUGACGGAGCAACGCCGCGUGAGUGAAGAAGGUCUUCGGAUCGUAAAACUCUGUUAUGAGGGAAGAACAAAUGUGUAAGUAACUAUGCACGUCUUGACGGUACCUAAUCAGAAAGCCACGGCUAACUACGUG
RNAcentral lists this ribosomal RNA (497 nucleotides) under uncultured bacterium. RNAcentral's name for it is "partial 16S ribosomal RNA". It matches the Rfam family "Bacterial small subunit ribosomal RNA", at positions 28 to 507 of the family's 1533-position model. The record is from RNAcentral.